UGUAGUCAUAUGCUUGUCUCAAAGAUUAAGCCAUGCAUGUCUAAGUAUAAGCAAUUACAAAGCGAAACUGCGAAUGGCUCAUUAUAUAAGUUAUCGUUUAUUUGAUAGUACCUUACUACAUGGAUAACCGUGGUAAUUCUAGAGCUAAUACAUGCUGAAAAUCCCGACUUCGGAAGGGAUGUAUUUAUUAGAUACAAAACCAAUGCCCUUCGGGGCUCUCUUGGUGAUUCAUGAUAACUUCUCGAAUCGCACGGCCCCGCGCCGGCGAUGGUUCAUUCAAAUUUCUUCCCUAUCAACUUUCGAUGCUACGGUAUUGUCCUAGCAUGGUUGCAACGGGUGACGGAGGGUUAGGGCUCGACCCCGGAGAAGGAGCCUGAGAAACGGCUACUACAUCCAAGGAAGGCAGCAGGCGCGCAAAUUACCCAAUCCCGAUACGGGGAGGUAGUGACGAUAAAUACCGAUACAGGGCUCUUUUGGGUCCUGUAAUUGGAAUGAGUACAAUUCAAAUCCCUUAACGAGGAACAAUUGGAGGGCAAGUCUGGUAAUCG
This 548-nucleotide ribosomal RNA is filed under the name uncultured eukaryote. Its description in RNAcentral is "SSU rRNA". It matches the Rfam family "Eukaryotic small subunit ribosomal RNA", at positions 21 to 570 of the family's 1831-position model. The record is from RNAcentral.